This 491-nucleotide ribosomal RNA is filed under the name uncultured bacterium. RNAcentral's name for it is "SSU rRNA". It matches the Rfam family "Bacterial small subunit ribosomal RNA", at positions 26 to 521 of the family's 1533-position model. The record is from RNAcentral.
AGGACGAACGCUGGCGGCGUGCUUAACACAUGCAAGUGGAGCGACGAACCAGGGCUUGCCCUGGGGCAGAGCCGCGAACGGGUGAGUAACACGUGGGUUACCUGCCUCGAUGACCGGGACAACCCGAGGAAACUCGGGCUAAUACCGGAUGUGCCCGCAAGGGGAAAGGAAGCUUCGGCCUCCGCAUCGAGAUGGGCCCGCGGCCCAUUAGCUUGUUGGUGAGGUAACGGCUCACCAAGGCUUCGAUGGGUAGCUGGUCUGAGAGGACGAUCAGCCACACUGGGACUGAGACACGGCCCAGACUCCUACGGGAGGCAGCAGUGGGGAAUCUUGCGCAAUGCGCGAAAGCGUGACGCAGCAACGCCGCGUGGGGGAAGAAGGCUUUCGGGUGUAAACCCCUUUCAGUUGGACGAGCUUCGUCGGUGAAUAGCGGCCGGAGUGACGGUACCUUCACAAGAAGCACCGGCUAACUACGUGCCAGCAGCCGCGGU